Molecule: ribosomal RNA, 253 nt
Filed under: uncultured bacterium
Lineage: Bacteria
Description: partial 16S ribosomal RNA
Rfam family: Bacterial small subunit ribosomal RNA
Source: RNAcentral
UACGUAGGGUGCGAGCGUUGUCCGGAAUUACUGGGCGUAAAGAGCUCGUAGGUGGUUUGUCGCGUUGUUCGUGAAAUCUCACGGCUUAACUGGGAGAGGUCGUUGAAGACUGGCAGACCUGAGGCGAUGAGAGGGGUGUAGAAUUCCCGGUGUAGUGGUGGAAUGCGUAGAUAUCGGGGGGAAUACCAGUGGCGAAAGCGGCACCCUAGCGUUAGCCUGACGCUCAUGUGCGAAAGCGUGGGGAGCGAACGGG